CAAUAGCGUAUAUUUAAGUUGUUGCAGUUAAAAAGCUCGUAGUCGGAUUUUGGCUGAGAACGAACGGUCCGCCGUUAGGUGUACACUGUUUGGUCUCAGCUUCCUGGUGAGGAGGUGUGCUUCACGGCCACUUAGUCACCGUGGUUACUUUGAAAAAAUUAGAGUGUUCAAAGCGGGCUUACGCUUGAAUAUAUUAGCAUGGAAUAACACCAUAGGACUCCUGUCCUAUUUCGUUGGUCUCGGGACGGGAGUAAUGAUUAAGAGGAACAGUUGGGGGCAUUCGUAUUUCAUUGUCAGAGGUGAAAUUCUUGGAUUUAUGAAAGACGAACUUCUGCGAAAGCAUUUGCCAAGGAUGUUUUCAUUGA
This 365-nucleotide ribosomal RNA is filed under the name uncultured eukaryote. RNAcentral's name for it is "partial 18S ribosomal RNA". It matches the Rfam family "Eukaryotic small subunit ribosomal RNA", at positions 592 to 976 of the family's 1831-position model. The record is from RNAcentral.